AUACUUACCUGGCAGGGGAGACACUGUGAUCACCAAGGCAGUUCUCCAAGGGCGAGGCUCACCCUUUACACUCCGGGUGUGCCAGGGGUGGAUCCAGAGACUAGUCUCGGGAGGGGCACUGACAGAAAAU
Molecule: small nuclear RNA, 130 nt
Filed under: Leptobrachium leishanense (Leishan spiny toad)
Lineage: Eukaryota; Metazoa; Chordata; Amphibia; Anura; Megophryidae
Description: U1 spliceosomal RNA (ENSLLEG00000018964.1)
Rfam family: U1 spliceosomal RNA
About the family: U1 is a small nuclear RNA (snRNA) component of the spliceosome (involved in pre-mRNA splicing).
Source: RNAcentral